AGGGAAUCUUCGGCAAUGGACGAAAGUCUGACCGAGCAACGCCGCGUGAGUGAAGAAGGUUUUCGGAUCGUAAAACUCUGUUGUUAGAGAAGAACAAGGAUGAGAAGAGAAUGUUCAUCCCUUGACGGUAUCUAACCAGAAAGCCACGGCUAACUACGUGCCAGCAGCCGCGGUAAUACGUAGGUGGCAAGCGUUGUCCGGAAUUAUUGGGCGUAAAGCGAGCGCAGGCGGUUUCUUAAGUCUGAUGUGAAAGCCCCCGGCUCAACCGGGGAGGGUCAUUGGAAACUGGGAAACUUGAGUGCAGAGGAGGAGAGUGGAAUUCCAUGUGUAGCGGUGAAAUGCGUAGAUAUAUGGAGGAACACCAGUGGCGAAGGCGGCUCUCUGGUCUGUAACUGACGCUGAGGCUCGAAAGCGUGGGGAGCAAAC
Molecule: ribosomal RNA, 426 nt
Filed under: uncultured bacterium
Lineage: Bacteria
Description: bacterial SSU rRNA
Rfam family: Bacterial small subunit ribosomal RNA
Source: RNAcentral